AUGGUGGUUCCGUCACCCCAAACGGCGAUGGGCGUCCAGGAUCGAUGAUCAUAGAUCGCUCCGACGCCCAGUCGCUCACGGCUCACCCGGUGGAUGGCGGCGCCCACCAGCAGCCUGCCUGCUAGCCGGUUCUUCUCCCUCCCUUCUCUCGGGAAUGGGUGUCAUGUUAGAGGAACUGUCAAUUUGGAACAAUUCAUCUCCACAUACUCUGUAUGUAUUGCAGGAAAAAUUUGUAAGUUUUUUGUGUUGCAGAGCUCUGCUGUCAUGUAUUGCUCAUCUACUCUGGUCCACAUACCACAAUUUUGAACUGUUGCUGGCAAUUCAUGCAUGUGCUUUAUUUUCUGGUGAGGUUAGUUCUAAUGUUCAUGUAUAUAUGCCCUUCAUCACAACCAUAUUUGUACUUUUGUAGUAUACAUUUUAUUUUACCUUUCGAAUGUCACUAAUCCGUAGCCUUGUGUGCUGGCUACUGUCUGAAUGCUGAUACCCAUAUCAGAAUUAGGAUGUGUUGGAAGACAACAGUGGUCAUAUAGCGAAGUGGAUAUCGCGUUAGAUUCCGAAUCUAAAAGUCGUGGGUUCGAAUCCCACUAUGAUCAUUGUCUUCAGGCUUUUUUUCAUGUUUCUUGUAUCUAUAUUUCUUUUUUCUUCAGACAGGGACAUUUUGGCGGCCACCACCAGAAAGUGUACAUGCUCUCUUGUGAACUGGUCCCAUAAGCCUGCUGUCUUUUGUGAGAAUUGUCACCUCAUAUGCACCGUGUCAUCUGCAUCCACUUGUAUAUGUAAAUACAUAAUUGCAUGAUAUUAUUCCAUAGCUUAUUCACUUGAUUUAUGUAACCUGCUGCCUGCUUGUAACUGGUGCCUUAUGGUUUUACUUUUUGUGAACUAUGGAAGAUGGGAGCUUUCCAUAAUUGGUAACUGGUUCACGUCUUCCUGAUGGCCCCAACGUUAUCUGAAACUUGUGGCUGGGUGUUGCUGUUCGUUCCUCAUCUGUUGGUACUUGGUACAGCAUUGCAACUGUGCAUUGCUCAUCUCAUUGUAAAAUCAAAUUCAGCACAGUUCAAUGCAAUUUAUACAUGAUAUUUACACAGGCCAGGUAUGAUUCAUAAUGUGAUGUCAGUUUCUUUACCAA
Setaria italica (foxtail millet) is the source of this 1126-nucleotide long non-coding RNA. RefSeq lists it as uncharacterized. NCBI's taxonomy places the organism in Eukaryota, Viridiplantae, Streptophyta, Magnoliopsida, Poales, Poaceae. The record is from RefSeq and is a predicted model, not a curated record. The transcript has 2 exons.